Molecule: RNA transcript, 1608 nt
Organism: Solanum verrucosum
Lineage: Eukaryota; Viridiplantae; Streptophyta; Magnoliopsida; Solanales; Solanaceae
Gene name: protein SOSEKI 3-like
Exons: 5
Source: RefSeq, a predicted model, not a curated record
UGUGUUUUCCCAAAUUAAAUGAAGUGUCUUCUUUCCAUCAAUUAAACGUGAAUCUUGGUUAUUUGAAAUGGAAGAGCGUAUGCGGAAGUAUAGGCAGCUGAGUCCAGAGAGAGCCAAAGUGUGGACUGAGAAAUCACCAAAAUAUGAACAACAACAGCCCAAUCAAAAUGAUGGAAAAGUGCCAGUGGUAUACUAUCUUUGUAGAAAUCAACAACUUGAGCAUCCUCAUUUCAUGGAAGUAACCAUGUCUUCCCCUGAUGGUCUAUACUUGAGAGAUGUAAUCAAGAGGUUUAACGUUUUGAGAGGCAAGGGAAUGGCUUCAUCUUAUUCUUGGUCCUGCAAGAGAAGCUACAAGAAUAGAUUUGUGUGGCAUGAUCUUUCUGAAGAUGAUCUAAUUCUUCCUGCUCGUCCUACUGAAUACGUUCUAAAAGGCUCGGAGCUUUGUGAAGAAUUAAAGUCAGGUCGAUCCAGUCCUGCGAAAAAUGAUAGCUUGUCAAAUCAAAAAGUAUUACCAGAACCUCCACUGUUAAGAAGCCAAGAUGAUUCCUCUUCUCCGUCCAACACGAAUGAAAGAUGUGCAAAGAAUACUUGUGAUGGUGAACAAUCACUUCCUGCUGAAAAGGCAAACAGCGCUAAUACGUAUGAUGGCCUGCCUGAUGCUUCCGUUCAGAUUCAUGAAAAGACAAACACGGCUAAUACAACUCAUGAUGAUAGUUGUAGAAGAUGCAUUUCAACGGAUGAUAGAUCUUGUGCGGUUGAAAAAAACGAAAGAAAUCAGGUUCAGGUUAACAGAAUGAAUGAGUCAGCCGAUAUACGGGUGGAGUCAGACACACUUCCACCAGAUACCUUAAUAUCUCUCAUCAGAUCAGAUGUUAGAAACCUCAGGAAACUUGAUAGUGAAGAGUGUCGCGUUCCAUCAAAGCUAAAGCCUCAUAAUAUGCUUAUGCAACUAAUUUCUUGUGGAUCAAUUUCAGUAAAGGAUCAUAGAUUUGGCUUUAUACAUACGUACAAACCAAGAUUAAAUUUAGGAAAACUUGAUUGCAUUACAAGGAAUAAGAGUUUAAUGGGUCUGAAUUUGGAAGACGAGGAAUAUUUCUGUGCAAGCUGGACGGAGUCUAGUAUCCCCAAGGAAAACCAGUCAUCCUUCAUCACUGCUGAGAGGUUCGUACUUUGGUUACCCUUAUUUGGAGUUUCAUCUGUGUGGAAUUUUUAACUUACUUUCAAUUAGAAAUUGUUACGUCUUGAAAAUCACGAUUAUGUCUUCCCUAGAAAAAAAAUCUAUGGUGCUACCGUCCUUUUUUCUUUCUAUAUCGUAAAAUGAGUUGUACGAUGCAGGACAAAUAGAAAGCCUGAAGAUUCAGUUCAAAGUAAAGAGGGGGCAAGCUCUAGAUGCUCAAAGUGCGUUAGACAUUCCACCACCAAUGUGCCAAAAAAUGAGUCAUGGAGAUGAUCCCAUCUUUCAGAAGGAGAAACACGCAGUUUGCGAAUCGUAAAACCUUUUUGGGGAUAGAAACAGUCCACAAGAAAUGAGAAAGAAAAUGUGGUUAAAAUUGAAGGAGGUCAAGUUCACUAAUUUUCAGAAUUGCUUAGAUUAUAAUAUAUAUGGUC